This is a non-coding RNA of Cinara cedri, 300 nucleotides long. NCBI's taxonomy places the organism in Eukaryota, Metazoa, Arthropoda, Insecta, Hemiptera, Aphididae. The record is from the annotation of a GenBank genome assembly.
CCGGCACGCUUUUACCGUCGCGGAACGAAAUGGUCCACCAUCGAGAACCCGUCGGGCCCGGAUUACGAAGAAUAGCGCACGUGUUUUUUUUUUUUUCUAACCGACAACGCAUUCCGAGUACUGACGCGAUUCGUGUAACCGCGUGUACCGUAGUACGCGUUAACGGGCGAAACGUUUUCUCAGCUCAAUUUCGUUUUUCGUUUCGUUUUUUUAGGGAAAUUUUUUUUUUUAAUUAAUUUUUCGCGCACCAUUUACGCGAUUUUCAGAAAUAUUUUUAAUUACAAUAAUUGUAUUUACUUU